UCCCCAAAGGGGCAGUCCGGCCAGACACAUGUAACUGACCGUGGGGGUUGCGCUCGUUGCGGGACUUAACCCAACAUCUCACGACACGAGCUGACGACAGCCAUGCAGCAUCUGUGGCCCACCCUCGCAGGCGAGUGGCUUUCACCACCUUGCGGGUCGUUCCGCUUUCGCUUCACUACCACUUGCAUGUCAAACCCAGGUAAGGUUCUUCGCGUUGCCUCGAAUUAAACCACACGCUCCGCUGCUUGUGCGGGCCCCCGCCUAUUCCUUUGAGUUUUAACCUUGCGGCCGUAGUCCCCAGGCGGUGAACUUAAUGCGUUAGCUGCGGCACUGAUCGGGUCAAUCCGACCAACACCUAGUUCACAACGUUUAGGGCGUGGACUAC
RNAcentral lists this unclassified non-coding RNA (385 nucleotides) under uncultured Chloroflexota bacterium. RNAcentral describes it as "uncultured Chloroflexi bacterium contains 16S-23S intergenic spacer region". The record is from RNAcentral. Lineage: Bacteria; Bacillati; Chloroflexota.